RNAcentral lists this ribosomal RNA (440 nucleotides) under uncultured bacterium. Its description in RNAcentral is "partial 16S ribosomal RNA". It matches the Rfam family "Bacterial small subunit ribosomal RNA", at positions 338 to 795 of the family's 1533-position model. The record is from RNAcentral.
CCUACGGGAGGCAGCAGUGGGGAAUAUUGCACAAUGGGGGAAACCCUGAUGCAGCCACGCCGCGUGAGUGAAGAAGUAUUUCGGUAUGUAAAGCUCUAUCAGCAGGGAAGAAAAUGACGGUUCCUGAUUAAGAAGCCCCGGCUAACUACGUGCCAGCAGCCGCGGUAAUACGUAGGGGGAAAGCGUUAUCCGGAUUUACUGGGUGUAAAGGGAGCGUAGACGGGAGCACAAGUCUGGAGUGAAAUGCCGGGGCUUAACCCCGGAACUGCUUUGGAAACUGUGCAGCUAGAGUGCAGGAGAGGUAAGUGGAAUUCCUAGUGUAGCGGUGAAAUGCGUAGAUAUUAGGAGGAACACCAGUGGCGAAGGCGGGUUACUGGACUGUAACUGACGUUGAGGCUCGAAAGCGUGGGGAGCAAACAGGAUUAGAUACCCCAGUAGUC